CACAGCUGCCUGAACUGAGCAGGGGGAUUUUCAGGGUUGCCAGCUGUGGGGAUUUAAUUGUUUCACCCGCGAGUCUAUAAAGGGGGGUACCACAGGGUAGCUCUAAAUCCUGUUGUGAUUCAGGGAGGAGGAGGUGAUUUGGAGGUCAGCUAUUGCAUAUGAAGUACCCUGUGUAUUCAGAAUGCUCAGCAAAGUGUUAAAUCAUUGACGCAGGAGACGUUCCAAGUGUUGAUGCCUUGCUGAAGCAUGUGACAAGGAAGAAGAUGGUACUUGUUCACUUAAGAGGCAAACAGAACAUUUGGAAGUGACAUGGCAGUUGGUGGACACCUACAUUUGCUUCUUGGCCAAGGCUUCCAAAGGGAUCACUGACGGCACCUUGCUACACUGCUGUCUCUGGGUUUGGCUGUGGAAAUCUGAAGAUACCUGCAAAAUGUCACCUGCUAGAAAUGAUGGGGACUUUAGAGGGUCCAUCCAACAAGGUAGACAUGGCUGGUUGGUUCAGAAAACAUCUGACAAUAUUUCUGGGAGAGGUGUAGUGAGCUGUUAUCUAUCUUCCUUACACUGAGUGUAGAUCAGAACUGGUCCUCAUCUUUGUCACUCAUUAAAAGAGUGAUGUGGAAGAUGCUCUCUUCCUGUCUACCGGUCAAAAGCUCCAGGAGAGACUUCCCUGACUUCAGUUAUUUCCUUUGUGACAAUUGGCUCAAACCCUGUGUAUGCGAGGCUUAUCUUAGCACUCAUUCUGAUGUGAUGAUUCCCAGUUAUGCUUUCAGUUAAAGAAGUUAAGAGUAUCUGAGAUUCUCAGCUAGCAAAUAUUGAUGUAGAAGUGUAAGCAUAUCAUCUUUAUUGCAUCUGCAUCUUGGUUCCUCUGUUAGAGGAAGUGGGAAUGAUGGCACCGCCUGUAAAAUGCUUUGAAAAAUGCAUGCAAGAAGUUAGCUGAAAAAAAAUCUGUCAUGAUAAUAAAAUACUGAUAAUAUCUAUGAGCAUUCCAGGAUAUCCCAUUUCACCUAUUGAAAAUGGACAAAGAUUUGAGGUGGAAAGAAGGACAAAACAAUUAUAAGUCUGAUCAUUUCCCCUUGAUAAUGAUAUAUGAUGAACUAGACUUUCUGUAGAAGUAUAAUAGAAGAAAAGGCAUAUUUCCACCACAUGUAUAAGAUACAAGUCAAGGUCUUGAGAUACUAGUGAAAAUAUAAUUUCUGAUGGUAAAUGUGUAUUCAAAACUCUGGCUAUUUGUUUUGGUGAUCUUCCUCAGAAGAGACUGGAAUAUCUGUGAGGCCAGUUAAAUAUUUUAAAUGAAUUUUGGACCACUAGAAUGAUAUUAUCUAUGUUAUUCUGCAAGUUGCCUUGAUCCUAUGUCAAGUGGCUGGUGAGAUGAUGUCUCUUAUUCACAAAUUCUUCUAUAUUUACAUUUGGAUAAAACUUUGUUUGGAAUAAGAAAUGUUUGUAAGGGAAGAGUUUUCUUUUUCCAUAGAAAGUACAAAAACUUUUUUAGCAAAUAAUACUUUUAGCACUCCCAUUAAACACUGUUUGUAUUAUGUAUACAGUACUCUAAAAAUAUACUUUACAGAUUAUGUCUCUUGCAGUAUUACUUCCAGAAAUGGAACAGAAAAUACCAGAGCUUUACAUUUAAAGUAAAACAUCAAGAGAGAGUGCAUGAAUAAUUGUGAAUGUGGUAAAAAGGGAGUUAAGCUGAAGAAAAGGAGUAUUUCAUUAAAUACUGGAAACCUGUAACUCAUACAUGCUGUAUUAGCAUGGUGUACAUUGUUCUGUAUUGAUGGGGCACUCACACCCGAGUGUU
Numida meleagris (helmeted guineafowl) is the source of this 1795-nucleotide long non-coding RNA. RefSeq lists it as uncharacterized. The record is from RefSeq and is a predicted model, not a curated record. The transcript is spliced from 4 exons. NCBI's taxonomy places the organism in Eukaryota, Metazoa, Chordata, Aves, Galliformes, Numididae.